GUCUUUGUAGAGUAUGGUAGCUCACUACCCUUCAGUUAUAUAGCCGCGCCGCGUACGGAGGAAGCCGGUGGUUCGACUCCACCCGAAGACG
Molecule: non-coding RNA, 91 nt
Organism: Mycena galericulata
Lineage: Eukaryota; Fungi; Basidiomycota; Agaricomycetes; Agaricales; Mycenaceae
Source: the annotation of a GenBank genome assembly